CUACGGAGGGUGCAAGCGUUAAUCGGAAUUACUGGGCGUAAAGCGCGCGUAGGCGGUUUGGUAAGUCGGAUGUGAAAGCCCCGGGCUCAACCUGGGAAUUGCAUUCGAUACUGCCAGACUAGAGUAUGGUAGAGGGAAGUGGAAUUCCGGGUGUAGCGGUGAAAUGCGUAGAUAUCCGGAGGAACACCAGUGGCGAAGGCGACUUCCUGGACCAAUACUGACGCUGAGGUGCGAAAGCGUGGGGAGCAAACAGGAUUAGAAACCCCAGUAGUCC
Molecule: ribosomal RNA, 274 nt
Filed under: uncultured bacterium
Lineage: Bacteria
Description: partial 16S ribosomal RNA
Rfam family: Bacterial small subunit ribosomal RNA
Source: RNAcentral